GACGAACGCUGGCGGCGUGCUUAACACAUGCAAGUCGAACGGAAAGGCCCUGCUUUUGUGGGGUGCUCGAGUGGCGAACGGGUGAGUAACACGUGAGUAACCUGCCCUUGACUUUGGGAAAACUUCAGGAAACUGGGGCUAAUACCGGAUAGGAGCUCCUGCUGCAUGGUGGGGGUUGGAAAGUUUCGGCGGUUGGGGAUGGACUCGCGGCUUAUCAGCUUGUUGGUGGGGUAGUGGCUUACCAAGGCUUUGACGGGUAGCCGGCCUGAGAGGGUGACCGGCCACAUUGGGACUGAGAUACGGCCCAGACUCCUACUGGAGGCAGCAGUGGGGAAUAUUGCACAAUGGGCGGAAGCCUGAUGCAGCAACGCCGCGUGCGGGAUGACGGCCUUCGGGUUGUAAACCGCUUUCGCCUGUGACGAAGCGUGAGUGACGGUAAUGGGUAAAGAAGCACCGGCUAACUACGUG
Molecule: ribosomal RNA, 468 nt
Filed under: uncultured bacterium
Lineage: Bacteria
Description: partial 16S ribosomal RNA
Rfam family: Bacterial small subunit ribosomal RNA
Source: RNAcentral